GGCAGAGGGGAGUUUUCUUUUCCAUGAGUAAUCAGCCAUUCAGCCCGGCUGUAAUGUUUGCUUGUGUCAGCAGUAUCUCUGUGUGCACUGGAGCAGGGCAGAAUGCGAUGGCUCGGAUUCAGCAGACUGAAUGGAAAGUGCCAGAGGCCCUACAGCGCAACAGCAGAUGGGAAUGGCAGUGUGAAUAUCUCUCUCUCUGUCUCUCUUUCUCUCUCUCUCUCUCUCUGUUAUCACACGCCAUCUCAUCCCACUGAGCAUUGUCAGCCACUCCCUUCACC
Molecule: long non-coding RNA, 278 nt
Organism: Ictalurus punctatus (channel catfish)
Lineage: Eukaryota; Metazoa; Chordata; Actinopteri; Siluriformes; Ictaluridae
Source: Ensembl